This 216-nucleotide ribosomal RNA is filed under the name Promethearchaeota archaeon Loki_b32. Its description in RNAcentral is "Candidatus Lokiarchaeota archaeon Loki_b32 partial 16S ribosomal RNA". It matches the Rfam family "Bacterial small subunit ribosomal RNA", at positions 1299 to 1526 of the family's 1533-position model. Lineage: Archaea; Promethearchaeati; Promethearchaeota. The record is from RNAcentral.
UGAGGUCUGCAACUCGACCUCAUGAAGCUGGAAUCGCUAGUAAUCGCGAAUCAGCGAUGUCGCGAUGAAUACGUCCCUGGGCCUUGUACUCACCGCCCAUCACGCCAAGCGAGCUGAGAAUAGCCGAAGUCCGCAUUUAAUGUGGCCUAAGCUGGGUUCAGUAAGAGGGGCGAAGUUGUAACAAGGCACGGGUAGCGGAAGCUGUCCGUGGAUCAC